Molecule: long non-coding RNA, 751 nt
Filed under: Ananas comosus (pineapple)
Lineage: Eukaryota; Viridiplantae; Streptophyta; Magnoliopsida; Poales; Bromeliaceae
Description: long non-coding RNA (ACOM_LNC020233)
Source: RNAcentral
UACUAAUAACAAAGCUAAAAUAUAGAAACUUUUCAUACAAAUACCUGAUUUUUUACCUUUUCUUUUUGACUUUUAAAAAUUUACAGUUUUCUUGCUUAAAAUUUCAAAAAUAUUUUUAAAAGGUUACGAUAUUACUAGAGAAGCUAGGCUGGUAUACUAUCGGUAGCAUGGAGGCCUCUGUGCUACCAAGUUGUUUUCAAUGAUGCGGCUUCCAAAUCGAUGAUCUGCUCCAUUAGACUUGAUCUACACUAUUAAAAGUAUUUGGAAACUAAAUUUCAUAAUUUUUCGGUAUCAUUUACAUAUCAAACGAAUAGUUUAAAAAUGAACGGCUGAAAAUAAAAAUCUCAUAAAAAAUGAUGAUAGAAGACUUGAAUUUAAGAUCAGAGGUACUGAUCUUACUCUAAAUAGUAAAAAAAAUUUUCUAUAAAAAUUUCAUCUGAUUUAGAUUGUUUUACACCGUUAAAUUCACAAACGCAUCACAUCUACCAUUAAAAUUGUCAAUUUUGAGACCUUUUGAUCACUAGCCAAAUGAUGUCGAAAAAUUAUGAAAUUUAAUUUCUAAAUACUUUUAAUAGUGUAGAUCAAGUCUAACGGAGCCGAUCGUCGAUUUAGAAGCCGCAUCAUCGAAAACAACUUGGUAGCACGAAGGCCUCCGUUCUACCGAUAGUAUAGUAGCCUAACUCUUAAUAGAGAUGACAAAAUGACCAAAUUAUUGUUACUUGUUUUCUAAAGAAAAAAUAAAUUUUAACAU